GACGAAGGGGGCUAGCGUUGUUCGGAAUUACUGGGCGUAAAGCGCGUGUAGGCGGUUGCCCAAGUCGGGUGUGAAAGCCUUGAGCUCAACUCAAGAAAUACACUCGGUACUGGGUGACUAGAGGACCGGAGAGGAUAGUGGAAUUCCCAGUGUAGUGGUGAAAUACGUAGAGAUUGGGAAGAACACCAGUGGCGAAGGCGGCUAUCUGGACGGUUUCUGACGCUAAGACGCGAAAGCGUGGGGAGCAAACAGG
RNAcentral lists this ribosomal RNA (253 nucleotides) under uncultured bacterium. RNAcentral describes it as "partial 16S ribosomal RNA". It matches the Rfam family "Bacterial small subunit ribosomal RNA", at positions 524 to 776 of the family's 1533-position model. The record is from RNAcentral.